RNAcentral lists this ribosomal RNA (404 nucleotides) under uncultured bacterium. RNAcentral's name for it is "partial 16S ribosomal RNA". It matches the Rfam family "Bacterial small subunit ribosomal RNA", at positions 28 to 526 of the family's 1533-position model. The record is from RNAcentral.
GACGAACGCUGGCGGCGUGCUUAACACAUGCAAGUCGAGCGGAGCGGCGAACGGGUGAGUAACGCGUGAGUAACUGCCCCCCUCUCUGGGAUAACAGUUGGAAACGGCUGCUAAUACCGGAUAGUGGGGGCUGACUCGCGUCCUAUCAGCUUGUUGGUGGGGUAGUGGCCUACCAAGGCGACGACGGGUAGCCGGCCUGAGAGGGCGACCGGCCACAUUGGGCUGAGAUACGGCCCAAACGCCUACGGGAGGCAGCAGUGGGGAAUAUUGCACAAUGGGGGAAACCCUGAUGCAGCAACGCGCGGGCGGGAUGACGGCCUUCGGGUUGUAAACCUUUUUCGCUCAUGGUCGGGUAGUGGGUAAAGAAGCGCCGGCUAACUACGUGCCAGCAGCCGCGGUAAUAC